UCUGAGCUUUUUGUUUUGAAUCUCAUGAUGAUUUUUGUGGGUUGAGGAGGAAUGAUUUUAAAUGAACUAUGAUAAAAGCACCAGGUUGCUGCAGGUGAACUUUAGUACAUAUUUGAUGAGACUAUUGGAAUAAAAAAAAAAAAAGCAUGAAUGAUGAACUGAAAUAUAUUUCAUUAAAUUUUAUUGCAAUUUGUCACUAUUUAUCUAACAUGCAUUUUGUGGCUGUUGGAGUUUUUGUUAAAGAAAUAAAUAUUUAGAAAUUAGAAUAAUUCCUUCUACUGUGCCAAGCAGAUCUUUGAUGGAGUAAUUUUUAAACACCAGGUGCACUGUGCAUUAUGCAUUACUCGCAUGCUUCUAUUCGUUGGUCCUGUAGAUGGAGUAAUUGAUGUCACUUACAUGUGACUGGUCCAUCAUAAUGUG
This 420-nucleotide unclassified non-coding RNA is filed under the name Hevea brasiliensis (rubber tree). The record is from RNAcentral. Lineage: Eukaryota; Viridiplantae; Streptophyta; Magnoliopsida; Malpighiales; Euphorbiaceae.